This 496-nucleotide ribosomal RNA is filed under the name uncultured bacterium. RNAcentral describes it as "partial 16S ribosomal RNA". It matches the Rfam family "Bacterial small subunit ribosomal RNA", at positions 29 to 507 of the family's 1533-position model. The record is from RNAcentral.
AUGAACGCUGGCGGCGUGCCUAAUACAUGCAAGUCGAGCGAACGGACGAGAAGCUUACUUCUCUGAUGUUAGCGGCGGACGGGUGAGUAACACGUGGAUAACCUACCUAUAAGACUGGGAUAACUUCGGGAAACCGGAGCUAAUACCGGAUAAUAUUUUGAACCGCAUGGUUCAAAAGUGAAAGACGGUCUUGCUGUCACUUAUAGAUGGAUCCGCGCUGCAUUAGCUAGUUGGUAAGGUAACGGCUUACCAAGGCAACGAUGCAUAGCCGACCUGAGAGGGUGAUCAGCCACACUGGAACUGAGACACGGUCCAGACUCCUACGGGAGGCAGCAGUAGGGAAUCUUCCGCAAUGGGCGAAAGCCUGACGGAGCAACGCCGCGUGAGUGAUGAAGGUCUUCGGAUCGUAAAACUCUGUUAUUAGGGAAGAACAUAUGUGUAAGUAACUGUGCACAUCUUGACGGUACCUAAUCAGAAAGCCACGGCUAACUACGUG